UUGACCUAAGAAAACUAUUCUUUUGCGAAAACGAAAUAAACACCAAAAAAGAAACCUUAAAACCUGACAAAAUAAUGCUUCUUUCAUCCACCUUGAAGUGAAAAGUAAAACAACAUGGGCUUUUGCUGUAAAAAAGCUAAGAAAAUAAUUAAUUUUAUUUAAAAAAUAUAAACCUGGAAAUAUAAAAAAGAAACAAAUUAAAUUAAUUAAAUAUAACAAUCAAAUACAUGGUUAUAAUAAUAACCACAUAAUAAAACACGUUACAUAAAAAAUUCCACAACAAAUUCUUAUAUUGCUUCAUUUUUCUCCAUAACUUCCACAUUUUCAAUUUUAUCCACUGUAAACCUAAAUUAAAAUUCUGAAAAUAAAAAAAAAAAAAACAAAGCAAUCAAUAUUAAAAAAAAGUCAAUAAAAAAAUAUUAUAAAAUCUAAAAAUCAAUCAAAAUUUAUACGAACUGAAAAAUGAACCCUUCUCCUCUCCCGUCUCCUGGACAAUUGGAAGGAUGUCCUCCUGGUCAUUAUAAUUUGCUCGUCCGGAACAUAUAUAAUUCCCAGCUUACAAAUACGUGGGGUCCAUCUCCAAUGGCUUCCACGGGAAGAAGCUGUGGCAAAGCUGGAAUGGGAACUUGUUGUCCCUUUAAACAAAUAUUUAAAAAUUUAUUAUAUUUAUAACAAAAAAAUUAUAUUUUCAGCUUACCAAAUCAUCCUGCCUACGAAACCAUGUUCUUGGAUUUGACCAUGUCCCGCUGCCAAACUAAAACAAAAUUCAUAUAUUUAUUAAAGGUUUAACAAUUUAAACUUUAAAACUCACAUUCCUGAAGAAUGCAACAUCAAUUAAAUUUUGCAUUAUUUUCUA
Episyrphus balteatus (marmalade hoverfly) is the source of this 856-nucleotide long non-coding RNA. RefSeq lists it as uncharacterized. Lineage: Eukaryota; Metazoa; Arthropoda; Insecta; Diptera; Syrphidae. The record is from RefSeq and is a predicted model, not a curated record. The transcript is spliced from 2 exons.